AAAUUGAAGAGUUUGAUCAUGGCUCAGAUUGAACGCUGGCGGCAGGCCUAACACAUGCAAGUCGAACGGUAACAGGAAGAAGCUUGCUUCUUUGCUGACGAGUGGCGGACGGGUGAGUAAUGUCUGGGAAACUGCCUGAUGGAGGGGGAUAACUACUGGAAACGGUAGCUAAUACCGCAUAACGUCGCAAGACCAAAGAGGGGGACCUUAGGGCCUCUUGCCAUCGGAUGUGCCCAGAUGGGAUUAGCUAGUAGGUGGGGUAACGGCUCACCUAGGCGACGAUCCCUAGCUGGUCUGAGAGGAUGACCAGCCACACUGGAACUGAGAUACGGUCCAGACUCCUACGGGAGGCAGCAGUGGGGAAUAUUGCACAAUGGGCGCAAGCCUGAUGCAGCCAUGCCGCGUGUAUGAAGAAGGCCUUCGGGUUGUAAAGUACUUUCAGCGGGGAGGAAGGGAGUAAAGUUAAUACCUUUGCUCAUUGACGUUACCCGCAGAAGAAGCACCGGCUAACUCCGUGCCAGCAGCCGCGGUAAUACGGAGGGUGCAAGCGUUAAUCGGAAUUACUGGGCGUAAAGCGCACGCAGGCGGUUUGUUAAGUCAGAUGUGAAAUCCCCGGGCUCAACCUGGGAACUGCAUCUGAUACUGGCAAGCUUGAGUCUCGUAGAGGGGGUAGAAUUCCAGGUGUAGCGGUGAAAUGCGUAGAGAUCUGGAGGAAUACCGGUGGCGAAGGCGGCCCCUGGACGAAGACUGACGCUCAGGUGCGAAAGCGUGGGGAGCAAACAGGAUUAGAUACCCUGGUAGUCCACGCCGUAAACGAUGUCGACUUGGAGGUUGUGCCCUUGAGGCGUGGCUUCCGGAGCUAACGCGUUAAGUCGACCGCCUGGGGAGUACGGCCGCAAGGUUAAAACUCAAAUGAAUUGACGGGGGCCCGCACAAGCGGUGGAGCAUGUGGUUUAAUUCGAUGCAACGCGAAGAACCUUACCUGGUCUUGACAUCCACGGAAGUUUUCAGAGAUGAGAAUGUGCCUUCGGGAACCGUGAGACAGGUGCUGCAUGGCUGUCGUCAGCUCGUGUUGUGAAAUGUUGGGUUAAGUCCCGCAACGAGCGCAACCCUUAUCCUUUGUUGCCAGCGGUCCGGCCGGGAACUCAAAGGAGACUGCCAGUGAUAAACUGGAGGAAGGUGGGGAUGACGUCAAGUCAUCAUGGCCCUUACGACCAGGGCUACACACGUGCUACAAUGGCGCAUACAAAGAGAAGCGACCUCGCGAGAGCAAGCGGACCUCAUAAAGUGCGUCGUAGUCCGGAUUGGAGUCUGCAACUCGACUCCAUGAAGUCGGAAUCGCUAGUAAUCGUGGAUCAGAAUGCCACGGUGAAUACGUUCCCGGGCCUUGUACACACCGCCCGUCACACCAUGGGAGUGGGUUGCAAAAGAAGUAGGUAGCUUAACCUUCGGGAGGGCGCUUACCACUUUGUGAUUCAUGACUGGGGUGAAGUCGUAACAAGGUAACCGUAGGGGAACCUGCGGUUGGAUCACCUCCUUA
RNAcentral lists this ribosomal RNA (1540 nucleotides) under Escherichia coli. RNAcentral's name for it is "bacterial SSU rRNA". It matches the Rfam family "Bacterial small subunit ribosomal RNA". Lineage: Bacteria; Pseudomonadati; Pseudomonadota; Gammaproteobacteria; Enterobacterales; Enterobacteriaceae. The record is from RNAcentral.